RNAcentral lists this signal recognition particle RNA (276 nucleotides) under Brassica napus (rape). RNAcentral's name for it is "SRP RNA Plant_SRP". It matches the Rfam family "Plant signal recognition particle RNA". Lineage: Eukaryota; Viridiplantae; Streptophyta; Magnoliopsida; Brassicales; Brassicaceae. The record is from Rfam by way of RNAcentral.
GUCGAGCUUGGUAACGCGGGCUUGUCAUCCAAGUGAAGACAACAAGAUGUUGGAAUCUUGGGCCGAUCUCAUUAGGCCGGGUUUGGGGUGGCUAUUCACUGGCCUGCCCAUUCCAAGUCGGGAGUUGAGGGUUCGGGCUCGAGCGAAGGCUUGUUGUUCGGGCACUCUUAGAGCGGAGGAGACUGCGUGAGGCUGGUUUCACAGAGCAGCGUCCACCUCCACCUUCUGAGCCCACUAUGACCUAAUAAGCUGGUUUCAACGGGGACCAACAUCUUU